This 505-nucleotide ribosomal RNA is filed under the name uncultured bacterium. RNAcentral describes it as "partial 16S ribosomal RNA". It matches the Rfam family "Bacterial small subunit ribosomal RNA", at positions 28 to 507 of the family's 1533-position model. The record is from RNAcentral.
GACGAACGCUGGCGGCGUGCCUAAUACAUGCAAGUAGAACGCACAGUUUAUACCGUAGCUUGCUACACCAUAGACUGUGAGUUGCGAACGGGUGAGUAACGCGUAGGUAACCUGCCUGGUAGCGGGGGAUAACUAUUGGAAACGAUAGCUAAUACCGCAUAAUAUUAAUUAUUGCAUGAUAAUUAAUUGAAAGGUGCAAUUGCACCACUACCAGAUGGACCUGCGUUGUAUUAGCUAGUAGGUGAGGUAACGGCUCACCUAGGCGACGAUACAUAGCCGACCUGAGAGGGUGAUCGGCCACACUGGGACUGAGACACGGCCCAGACUCCUACGGGAGGCAGCAGUAGGGAAUCUUCGGCAAUGGACGAAAGGCUGACCGAGCAACGCCGCGUGAGUGAAGAAGGUUUUCGGAUCGUAAAGCUCUGUUGUAAGAGAAGAACGGGUGUGAGAGUGGAAAGUUCACACUGUGACGGUAUCUUACCAGAAAGGGACGGCUAACUACGUG